RNAcentral lists this ribosomal RNA (274 nucleotides) under uncultured bacterium. RNAcentral describes it as "partial 16S ribosomal RNA". It matches the Rfam family "Bacterial small subunit ribosomal RNA", at positions 523 to 796 of the family's 1533-position model. The record is from RNAcentral.
AUACGGAUGGUGCGAGCGUUGUUCGGAAUUACUGGGCGUAAAGGGCGCGUAGGCGGCGAUGUAAGUCAAAUGUGAAAGUCCUCGGCUUAACCGGGGAAGUGCAUCUGAAACUGCAUUGCUUGAGUAUGGGAGAGGAAAGUGGAAUUCCCGGUGUAGAGGUGAAAUUCGUAGAGAUCGGGAGGAUUACCGGUGGCGAAGGCGACUUUCUGCACCAAUACUGACGCUGAGGCGCGAAAGCGUGGGGAGCAAACAGGAUUAGAAACCCUAGUAGUCC